GAUGAAGAACGCAGCGAAAUGCGAUAAGUAAUGCGAAUUGCAGAAUUCCAGUGAGUCAUCGAAUCUUUGAACGCACAUUGCGCCCUUUGGUAUUCCGAAGGGCAUGCCUGUUCGAGCGUCAUUAUCACCCCUCAAGCCCUCGGCUUGGUGUUGGACGGUUUGGUGGAGGCCCCCUCGGGGGUUCCUGCCCCUCCCAAAGACAAUGACGGCGGCCUCGUUGGACCCCCGGUACACUGAGUUCUUCACGGGACACGUAUCGGACACAUGGGUUUACGGGACACGGUCUGCCUCCCCUCAGGGAGAAUCUUUCUAAGGUUGACCUCGGAUCAGGUAGGGAUACCCGCUGAACUUAAGCAUAUCGAUAAGCGGAGGA
RNAcentral lists this unclassified non-coding RNA (373 nucleotides) under soil metagenome. Its description in RNAcentral is "partial contains 5.8S ribosomal RNA, internal transcribed spacer 2, and large subunit ribosomal RNA". The stretch from base 1 to 121 matches the Rfam family "5.8S ribosomal RNA", at positions 35 to 154 of the family's 154-position model. The record is from RNAcentral.